Molecule: non-coding RNA, 2645 nt
Organism: Salmo salar (Atlantic salmon)
Lineage: Eukaryota; Metazoa; Chordata; Actinopteri; Salmoniformes; Salmonidae
Source: RefSeq, a predicted model, not a curated record
CCUCGGUCCACUGGGCCAAUCAGGAAGCGUCUGUUGUGGGUGUAACGCGUCUGUCGACGUAUCCUAUAUUAUGAUAGGUUUACCAAGCUGCUUGUUAAACGGAACGCCUUUAUUUUGAGGAAGUUUUAGGACCUCGUCAAGAUAUUGAAAUGACAACAGGUAUUGUAGAUAGCGUAGGAUGUGAAAGCGGAUCUAUUUAAAACCAAAUGAGAAAGCUGUGUAAUUGUUGACAAAUAAACAAGCGUCGCCUCAUUGGCUGCUUCGUUGGGAAAGACAGAAAGUGGAGGCGGUGUUGUUGGUGUCGUUUGAUGGUUCCUUCUACCCAACCUAAAGCUUCUGUACUCACAGGGAGUCCUGGUGGAACAGAUGAGUAAUGUCUUUAUCACCAAGACCUUCCCCAUCCAUUACAGCCUGGUGACAGGUCUGUAUGCAGAGUCUCAUGGUGUCGUAGCUAGCAAUAUGUUUGACUCCGCAACCGAGAAGCACUUCGCCACCUUCAACGACACCGACCCCCUUCUGGUGGACGAAGCCGCGGCACUCUGGGUACAAGACGGGCGUGGCCAUGUGGCCGUGGUCAGACUUGGGGAUCAAGAACAGAACGGCGACUCACUUCAUACCCUACAACCCCUCUGUGACUUUUAGUCAACGCCUGGCCAACGUCACUCACUGGCUGACUGGGGUACUUAACCUCUGACCCCCUCGUCCGUAACUCCAUUGUUUUCACUGAAUACUGCUUUUAAGUUUUGCCUCCAUUCCUCUGGAGGGGAGGAGACAGUGUUGUUUGCAGCUCUGUACUGGGAGGAGCCAGACAGGACAGGUCAUAUGUAUGGACCAGAAAACACCACCCACAUAGGACAGGCUCUUAAAGAGGUGUGUGUCUAACACAUUGGGCUUGUUUGAGUGGUAAGGCUGAAGCAAUUGACUGCAGACAAGUCGAGGAGUGAAGUUGGAGAAGGUGCAUCUGCGACAGCCUAAAAUCAGACACUGAUGUGGUUUUCCAACAGCAAGGCUCAGUGCAACAUGGCACACAGCCUUGCUUUUCUUUGGAAUGUCGAAAUAAACUCCCCCAUAUCACACACUCACAAACUGUAAAUAUGUGUGACAUUGUACUAUCAAUUGGUGAGCGAGAGACUCAAAUAUCACAUUAAUUUGUACAUAUCCACACUGUAUACAAUCACGUCAAAGUUCGUUUCAGUCACGUCUUUGGUCACGUUCGCUUGGGUCAAACAGAAACACUAAUGAUUGGUUGACAAUAGAGCCUCCCACAAUGCAGGGUGAUGCUGCAGGGUGAAGUUGGGGAAGAGCAACUUCAGAAACUGGAGCCGGCUGCCACCGGCGCCAAACAACGGAUCUCUGUCCCAGGCACGCUGCUUCCUGGCUGGGGAGGGCUGUGUCGACGUCCCCCUAAUGGUGGGACUGGUGGUGGGGGUACUGCUGGUUCUCACCACACUCACGGGUCUGUUCACGGUACAGGAUGAUGAUGCUGACCCUCUGCUAGACUAAAGCAAUCAAUCACAGCUCCCAGCCCGACUAUACUGACCAACCACAGAUCAUAACAACAAACCAAAGCUCACCACCAUGCUCCCAACAACCAAUCAGAACUCCGACAGGAAUAAAUAGAGAAUAGUGUCAUUUCAGACACAGCCAUACUCUUUUCCAAGAGUUACAGAGCGGUAGUCAGAUUUCAGAUUUACACACUCCUCAUUCUCUGUGGUACAAUACUUACAGUAUGGAGUAUUCAAAUAAAUAUGUACACUAUAAAUAAACAUAUUGAGCCAUAAAUAGAUAAAACUAAAGAAAUAAGACACUAAAGAGAAGUCAGUUAGUAGAAACAGACUGAGGUUACUUGAAUUUGUCUGUAUACAGAGAAGCCAUCUAAUAUGAUAUAACACGUGUUAUAUAUUUGAAGAAAUGCUCUGUUAAUUUAUUUGCAAGACAAUCCUAAAAAGAAGAAUACAUGUUUGUUAGGAGAGCUUCUGGUAAAGGGAUGUAAAUGUGUAUUUUGAAGGGUUUAUUUCAUAAAGAGUAGCGCUAUAUUGCAGUAGUAAUUGUCUGAACAGCAGUGAUGGGUUUUGUUAGCUACUCUGUAGACUGCUGAGCCAGGCGGUGGAGUCAGAAACAGGACUGAAGCUAUGUUUCUGCUGUUUGUUACAGCAGAAACGUGUGUGUGUGUGUGUGUGUGUGCUGAGAUAAGCUAUAGCUCUGGUACUGUAUGGUUUCCUGUAGUGUUAAAAGGAGACAGACAAGCUAUACUGUUCGAUUCAGGUCCUUAAUCUGAAAAGAAGUUAUUUGAAGGAAAACAGUUUCAGUUUGUCUGAUUCUCUUGUCAAGCCACUGUGUGUGCUUGUGCCAGUGUGUGUGUGUGUGUGUGUGUGUGUCGGCAGAGAAAGGGUGUGUGCCUGCGUGUGUGUGUAUCGGUGUAGAGAAGUCGAAGAUCUGCUGUUACUAUGGUUACUAUACCAUAGUAACCCUAGUACUAUGAUUAAUAUGCUGUAACUAUGCUGUUAUUAUGGUUACUGUACAGUAACUCUACUGUUACUAUGUCAACCACCUGCCUCCAGGUGGCUACUGAACUGGUCCUCAGGGAGUUUCUGCUCAUAUUGUCAUUGACUGACAUAUGAAAGUAUAAAGUAAACCUAAAUGUU